AACGAGGCCGACCUGCGGCUGAGUUACCUGCGGAGGGAUCAUUAAAAGAUUCUAAAUGGUUCUAGCCCGUAAAAAAGGCUAUGAGCUAUUAUUUUAUUUAACCUGAAAUUUUUUGUCUGAAUAUAUCAAUUUUCGAAUGAAAAUUAAAACUUUCAACAACGGAUCU
This 166-nucleotide unclassified non-coding RNA is filed under the name soil metagenome. RNAcentral's name for it is "partial contains 5.8S ribosomal RNA, internal transcribed spacer 2, and large subunit ribosomal RNA". The record is from RNAcentral.